This 462-nucleotide ribosomal RNA is filed under the name uncultured bacterium. RNAcentral's name for it is "partial 16S ribosomal RNA". It matches the Rfam family "Bacterial small subunit ribosomal RNA", at positions 28 to 506 of the family's 1533-position model. The record is from RNAcentral.
GAUGAACGCUGACAGAAUGCUUAACACAUGCAAGUCUUUGGCGAAGCUGUGCUUGCACAGCCUAGCCAAGGCGGACGGGUGAGUAACGCGUAAGGAACUUGCCCUGCAGUCAGGGAUAACAGACGGAAACGACUGAUAAGACCUGGUAAAGUCAGGCGGACUCAUGUCCAGCCUGAUGAAAAGAGAUGCUGCAGGGGAGCCUUGCGUCCUAUUAGCUUGUUGGUGGGGUAACGGCCCACCAAGGCGAUGAUAGGUAGCCGGCCUGAGAGGGUGGACGGCCACAAGGGGACUGAGAUACGGCCCUUACUCCUACGGGAGGCAGCAGUGGGGAAUAUUGGACAAUGGGGGCAACCCUGAUCCAGCAAUUCUGUGUGCACGAUGAAGGUUUUCGGAUUGUAAAGUGCUUUCAGCAGGGAAGAAAAAAAUGACGGUACCUGCAGAAGAAGCGACGGCUAAAUACGU